UCUAGCCAGUACAAAUAAUGCUUGUCGUCUCAACUUCAAGACAUGUGAUUGAUUUUUGUAUCUGUGCACUUUACCUUUAUCUGUAGUGAACGUGAUCUCAAUUUCUUUGUUCCCAAAUCCUUUGUUUUUCCUCUUCUAUAACAUAUGGUUUCUAAGAAUGUUGUUUUCAAUAUCAUAGUUCCCAAAUCUUGUUUGUAAGAAUGUUUACCUGUUGGCAUGGGAAGGGAUUAUACGUUAAUGCUUGACAUGUUUAAAUUGAAUUAUACAAGUUGGAUUAUUUCAUGAGCUUGCUGUGUUUCUCUGUAUGUGGUUACUGCACUGCGGAUGCUUGUUUCCUUGAAGUUUGUGGGCAACAAAACAAAGAGCUUCUUAAGCAUUGCUUUAGUAGAAUCUUUGAGCCGGUUGCUUGAUGCAAGGCAAAGAGACUAAACGCUAGACGGAGACGAAUCAUGGUUAACCGAGAAUAAAAAUGAGAACUGGGAGAAAUGGAAGAUUCUGGACUUUAGGAGAGAGAGAGAGCGGAAAUAGAUGAUGAAGAAAUCAGAAUAUCAUCUUGGAUGGUAGGAUCGUAUCCAGGGCACUUAAAUUUGGAGGGCUCUGAAAUUGUUUGAGAAUUGAAGUGAUGUCUUCCCCAGAUUUAUUACCUGGGUUUCAUUUGGUCAGGUCGGAAAUCACCCUGUCAAAAGGUGAUUAUUAGUCCUCAAAAAUAUAAUUCCCAGUGGUUCCUUGGUCGUGAAAGGUUAUUGUUAUGUUCCUUGGUCAAGAAGGUUUCAAAUUUUUGAAUUGCCAACCUGUUGCUUGGUCUAGAAGGCUUCAAAUUUGUCUUGCACGAGGCUGACCAUUGUUUGAUUUCUCUGAAAAAGACUCCAAUCAAACCUUCUUUCGUUGUUUUAAAAUUCAUCAUUAUGCUACUGUUCUUAGAUGACCAGUCAAUAGGCAACUAUUGACCACAAAAACUUCAUAUGAAGUCAGAGUCUUGUUAUAUCGAUUACAUGUGUAGUCAUUGUAUUAUCAAAUUAUGGAAUUUACUUUUUCUUCAAUCCGUUGCUCUUUACGUGCACAAAAAGAAUGUUGUUGUAUCCUCUGCUGAUUCUGAUCUUUUCAUCGCUGUACCUGCAUCAGACAUUUAACAUUCAUGAGUGUGCAAUUAAUCAGCUUAGCAACGAAUGGAAGAAUCAAAGGUCUUACAGCAGCUCCAGACUGAUCUUUGUUUCCAUCCCCUCUAUGGGAUAACCAAACUGCCCUGCAAUAAUGGCUGCAUCACUCAUGGUGACAUUGUACGUGUUGGCUGCUGAUCUUCUGGCAAUGAGGAACCAAAAUUACAUUAGCUUCCGAAAUGGCUUCCCUGGAAUGUGCUCAGGAGUUUCUUUUAUGUUAAUCUAAAUAUUUUUUACUGCUUCGGUACUAUCAUCAAUGUGAAAGCAAUUGGCUCCAGGGCAGCUGUGCCCAUUGAACCAA
Long non-coding RNA from Mangifera indica (mango), 1458 nucleotides. RefSeq lists it as uncharacterized. The transcript has 3 exons. The record is from RefSeq and is a predicted model, not a curated record. Lineage: Eukaryota; Viridiplantae; Streptophyta; Magnoliopsida; Sapindales; Anacardiaceae.